This is a long non-coding RNA of Gadus morhua (Atlantic cod), 226 nucleotides long. RefSeq lists it as uncharacterized. The record is from RefSeq and is a predicted model, not a curated record. Lineage: Eukaryota; Metazoa; Chordata; Actinopteri; Gadiformes; Gadidae. The transcript is spliced from 3 exons.
GGGGCAGGAAACGUUUUCAUCAGACAGCAAGCAGCGACGUUUUCGCUGGAUGGUGCACUGCUCCUCCCCCACGUCGUUGGAGGCCGUGCAGCGGUAGAGCCCCGCCAGGCUCAGCGAAUAGUUUCGGAUCAACAGCUGUCCGGUCAAACCGUCUGAAGAUAAGUGUACCAACUGUGGGCAGCUUCAUGAAGUAUAUCGCUGGACAACAUUCAAGCCAUGAAGCAGG